RNAcentral lists this ribosomal RNA (484 nucleotides) under uncultured bacterium. RNAcentral's name for it is "partial 16S ribosomal RNA". It matches the Rfam family "Bacterial small subunit ribosomal RNA", at positions 30 to 507 of the family's 1533-position model. The record is from RNAcentral.
AUUGAACGCUGGCGGCAGGCCUAACACAUGCAAGUCGAGCGGAUGAAGGGAGCUUGCUCCUGGAUUCAGCGGCGGACGGGUGAGUAAUGCCUAGGAAUCUGCCUGGUAGUGGGGGAUAACGUCCGGAAACGGGCGCUAAUACCGCAUACGUCCUGAGGGAGAAAGUGGGGGAUCUUCGGACCUCACGCUAUCAGAUGAGCCUAGGUCGGAUUAGCUAGUUGGUGGGGUAAAGGCCUACCAAGGCGACGAUCCGUAACUGGUCUGAGAGGAUGAUCAGUCACACUGGAACCUGGGCACGGUCCCGACUCCUACGGGAGGGCGCAGUGGGGAAUAUUGGACAAUGGGCGAAAGCCUGAUCCAGCCAUGCCGCGUGUGUGAAGAAGGUCUUCGGAUUGUAAAGCACUUUAAGUUGGGAGGAAGGGCAGUAAGUUAAUACCUUGCUGUUUUGACGUUACCAACAGAAUAAGCACCGGCUAACUUCGUG